RNAcentral lists this ribosomal RNA (889 nucleotides) under uncultured bacterium. Its description in RNAcentral is "bacterial SSU rRNA". It matches the Rfam family "Bacterial small subunit ribosomal RNA", at positions 26 to 898 of the family's 1533-position model. The record is from RNAcentral.
AGAGUGAACGCUGGCGGCGUGCCUAACACAUGCAAGUCGAACGCGAAAGUCCCGCAAGGGAUAAGUAGAGUGGCAGACGGGUGAGUAAUGCAUAGGUAAUCUACCCUUGAGUGGGGGAUAACUCCGGGAAACCGGUGCUAAUCCCGCAUAACUUCCUGAUGCGUAAGCGUCGGGAUCAAAGGGGGGGAUCCUUCGGGACCUCUUGCUUAAGGAUGAGCCUAUGUCCUAUUAGCUAGUUGGUGAGGUAAUGGCCCACCAAGGCUUUGAUGGGUAGCCGAGCUGAGAGGCUGAUCGGCCACACUGGAACUGAAACACGGUCCAGACUCCUACGGGAGGCAGCAGUGGGGAAUUUUGCGCAAUGGGCGAAAGCCUGACGCAGCGACGCCGCGUGAGGGAUGAAGGUCUUAGGAUUGUAAACCUCUGUCAGGAAGCAUUAAAUGCACGGGUAUCAACACCAUCCGUGCUUGACUUAACUUCCAGAGGAAGCCCCGGCUAACUACGUGCCAGCAGCCGCGGUAAUACGUAGGGGGCAAGCGUUACUCGGAUUUAUUGGGCGUAAAGAGAAUUCAGGCGGUCAUGUAAGUCAGUGGUGAAAUACCUAGGCUCAACUUAGGAAUUGCCUUUGAUACUGCGUGACUUGAGGACAGGAGAGGAAGGCGGAAUUCCCGGUGUAGCGGUGGAAUGCGUAGAUAUCGGGAGGAACACCUGAGGCGAAGGCGGCUUUCUGGACUGGUCCUGACGCUGAUAUUCGAAAGCUAGGGGAGCAAACAGGAUUAGAUACCCUGGUAGUCCUAGCUGUAAACGAUGGAUACUAGAUCUUGCAUGAUUUUGCUUGGUCGAAGCUAACGCGUUAAGUAUCCCGCCUGGGGAGUACGGUCGCAAGGCUGAA